GGAACGAGGGCGCUCCAAGUGGA
This 23-nucleotide non-coding RNA is filed under the name Arabidopsis thaliana (thale cress). The record is from RNAcentral. Lineage: Eukaryota; Viridiplantae; Streptophyta; Magnoliopsida; Brassicales; Brassicaceae.